CCUACGGGAGGCUGCAGUGAGGAAUAUUGGUCAAUGGGCGGGAGCCUGAACCAGCCAAGUCGCGUGAGGGAAGACGGUCCUACGGAUUGUAAACCUCUUUUGUCGGGGAGCAACGGGGUCCUUGCGAGGGCCCGAUGAGAGUACCCGGAGAAAAAGCAUCGGCUAACCCCGUGCCAGCAGCCGCGGUAAUACGGAGGAUGCGAGCGUUAUCCGGAUUUAUUGGGUUUAAAGGGAGCGUAGGCCGGCUUUUAAGUCAGCUGUGAAAGUCCGGGGCUCAACCGUGGAAUUGCAGUUGAAACUGGAGGCCUUGAGUGCACACAGGGAUGCCGGAAUUCAUGGUGUAGCGGUGAAAUGCUUAGAUAUCAUGAAGAACUCCGAUCGCGAAGGCAAGUGUCCGGGGUGCAACUGACGCUGAGGCUCGAAAGUGCGGGUAUCAAACAGGAUUAGAUACACGAGUAGUC
This 461-nucleotide ribosomal RNA is filed under the name uncultured bacterium. RNAcentral describes it as "partial 16S ribosomal RNA". It matches the Rfam family "Bacterial small subunit ribosomal RNA", at positions 338 to 795 of the family's 1533-position model. The record is from RNAcentral.